CAGGUGUGUGUAAUGAUGGGGACAGGUGUGUGUAAUGAUGGUGACAGGUGUGCGUAAUGAUGGUGACAGGUGUGUGUAAUGAUGGUGACAGGUGUGUGUAAUGAUGGUGACAGGUGUGUGUAAUGAUGGUGACAGGUGUGUGUAAUGAUGGUGACAGGUGUAUGUAAUGAUGGUGACAGGUGUGUGUAAUGAUGGUGACAGGUGUGUGUAAUGAUGGUGACAGGUGUGUGUAAUGAUGGUGACAGGUGUGCGUAACGAUGGUGACAGGUGUGUG
Long non-coding RNA from Oncorhynchus keta (chum salmon), 274 nucleotides. RefSeq lists it as uncharacterized. The transcript is spliced from 3 exons. Lineage: Eukaryota; Metazoa; Chordata; Actinopteri; Salmoniformes; Salmonidae. The record is from RefSeq and is a predicted model, not a curated record.